RNAcentral lists this transfer RNA (71 nucleotides) under Megaloblatta sp. ECMD1. RNAcentral describes it as "tRNA-Cys". Lineage: Eukaryota; Metazoa; Arthropoda; Insecta; Blattodea; Nyctiboridae. The record is from RNAcentral.
AGUCUUAUAUUCAUGAAAUGAUUUUGGAAUGCAAUUCUAAAGGAGCACGAAUAAUUUUUUUGCUAAGACUU